CUUGUUAGUCUCUAUUGCAUCUAGAUUAUAUUAUAUACCCUCCAGGGAGUUUUCGUAGUAUGAUCAUGUUUAGUUGAGAGCCACAUUCUUUAUGUGGCCCACCAUAGGUUCCAUUUCAAUUACUCAUACUUUGUGAUACGGUGGGCAUGUUAUAUCCCAAAACAAAUGCAGGUUACAUUCACAUUGAAAUCUAUUGGAGCUUUGAGAUACAGUUUUGCCGGGUUGAUUUUCUCUUGUAUAAAAAUGAAGGUAUGCAGUCAGAUUCUGAUGCUCUAUGGUUCACAGAGCAUAUCUUUUUGUUUUUCCCCAAUAAGUGUUGAGAGCAAUGAGAGCUUCUUAAUUUUGUACUAUGUUUGAGUGUUCGCAUUAAGUACUGUUUGCCAAUAUUUUUACAAUCAUCAUCUGGUGUCUUAUAUUGUCCUGCAUUUUUUUUCGUUUUUCCUUUUUUUUUCCUUUUUUUUUUUUUCCUUUUCUCCCAAGCAAUUGUCAUGGUUAGGUAAAGCUUCUAGAUAAGGUCAACUGAACCUGGAUGUUGCUGCAAUGAGUUACACCAUGUAGCGAUUGAGCAAUUGGCUGACUUACAGCUUAUUCCUAAGUUAAUGCUGAAUUACAAAUGAUUUCAACAGGUAAUUCUCCGUGAAACUAUUGGUUGUUCCGCCAUAUGUGUAGGUUCUUCAGUAACAUUUGUAUGUUUCUAGAUAAGGCCAACUGAACCUGGAUGUUGCUGCAAUGAGUUAUACCAUGUAGCGAUUGAGCAAUUGGCUGACUUACAGCUUAUUCCUAAGUUAAUGCUGAAUUACAAAUGAUUUCAACAGGUAAUUCUCCGUGAAACUAUUGGUUGUUCCGCCAUAUGUGUAGGUUCUUCAGUAACAUUUGUAUGUAUGCUUCAUUUAGUUUUUUCAUUUUCAUGUUCACAGUGAUGGUUCCAUAUUUCACUUAUUGCAGUUCUAUGCACUUUGACUGGUUUUCAGUCAUCUUGGUGUUGUGAGUUUUUGUCGUGUUAAUUGAUAUGAUUGCGGUUUUAAAAUAUACAAUUGUUGCUAAUAAGUUUAGCUCUUUUAAAGUGAACAAUUUGCUUUAGAGGAUAAGGUGGUCUCCUUUUCAACCAUAGAUAAAUAAAUCAACAAAUGAUAUUGUGUAUGCAUAACAAAUAAUGCUCAAUUAGGAAUAUCAAAAGUUGUGUUUUUUAUCUUCUCAAUAACGAUUGACAUGUCUUACUUUAUCCUCUAAAGCGAAAACCCACUUUAGAGGAGCCUAGUGAGAGAUGCCGGAUAACUUUAGGAUUUUUCCUUUCUCAAGAACAUGAGACAUUAUUUUGGUGAUUGUGAGUCACAUUUGAAGGUUUUCCCCUUUUCUUUUGGUCUUUUUUUUUCCCUCUCACUCUUCCCUCCCCUUCUUUCCCCGAUUUAACUUUUUCUGGUUAGGUU
This 1427-nucleotide long non-coding RNA is filed under the name Cicer arietinum (chickpea). RNAcentral describes it as "long non-coding RNA (CARI_LNC001787)". The record is from RNAcentral. Lineage: Eukaryota; Viridiplantae; Streptophyta; Magnoliopsida; Fabales; Fabaceae.